UACAGAGGAGCCAAGCGUUGUCCGGAUUGACUGGGCGUAAAGCGCACGCAGGCGGCACCGCGCGUGGGGUGUGAAAUCUGGCCGCUUAACGGCCAGGCGCCAUCCCAUACGGCGGAGCUGGAGUGAUGCAGAGGUCGGUGGAAUUGCCGGUGUAGUGGUGAAAUGCGUAGAUAUCUGCAGGAACACCCGUGGCGAAAGCGGCGCGCUGGACCACUACUGACGCUGAGGAACGAAAGCUAGGGGAGCAAACAGG
RNAcentral lists this ribosomal RNA (253 nucleotides) under uncultured bacterium. RNAcentral describes it as "partial 16S ribosomal RNA". It matches the Rfam family "Bacterial small subunit ribosomal RNA", at positions 524 to 776 of the family's 1533-position model. The record is from RNAcentral.